Molecule: ribosomal RNA, 246 nt
Filed under: uncultured bacterium
Lineage: Bacteria
Description: partial 16S ribosomal RNA
Rfam family: Bacterial small subunit ribosomal RNA
Source: RNAcentral
AGUAACGCGUGGAUAACCUGCCUUACACUGGGGGAGUAACACUUAGAAAUAGGUGCUAAUACCGCAUAAGCGCACAGCUUCGCAUGAAGCAGUGUGAAAAACUCCGGUGGUAUACGAUGGAUCCGCGUCUGAUUAGCUGGUUGGCGGGGUAAAAGCCCACCAAGGCGACGAUCAGUAGCCGGCCUGAGAGGGUGAACGGCCACAUUGGGACUGAGAUACGGCCCAGACUCCUACGGAAGGCAGCAG